Molecule: small nucleolar RNA, 105 nt
Organism: Beta vulgaris subsp. vulgaris (sugar beet)
Lineage: Eukaryota; Viridiplantae; Streptophyta; Magnoliopsida; Caryophyllales; Amaranthaceae
Rfam family: Small nucleolar RNA Z279/snoR105/snoR108
About the family: This family includes the plant snoRNAs known as Z279, snoR105 and snoR108.
Source: Rfam
GGGAUAUGAGGAGUGGUCAUUAAUCGCAAUUUUGAAAUGCGAUAUGGAUGCCCGCCCCAGCCUGGUUACGACAAUUGGGCAUCCAAACUUUUACCAUCUGAUCCC